UAUAUAUAUAUAUAUAUAUAUAUAUAUAUAUAUAUAUAUAUAGAUAUAUAUGUAUGUAUGUAUGUAUAUAGAUAGAUAGAUAGAUAGACAGAUAGAUACAUAUACAUAUACAUAUGUAUAUGUAUAUGUAUAUAUGACUCAAUGCCCCGCACCUGGAUCCUGGAAUGCCUAGAAAUAUACUGCAUAGUUCUGCAUAGGGCUGAACCCCCUCAGUGAGAUCAUCAACAAGACUGGCUAUGGAUACCGACUACAGAGUGGAGCAGUUGUCAGCCACUUCCUGUACAUGGAUGACAUCAAGCUGUAUGCCAAGAGUGAAUGAGACUGAUCCACACCACCAGUAUAUACAGAAAUGACAUCGGAAUGUCGUUUGACUGGAGAAAUGUAGUUGGAUGAUAACAAAGAGAGGGAAGGUAGUCAGAACUGAGGGGAUCGAACUACCAGAAUGCAACAUUGCAGGCACAGAGGACAGCCACAAUUACCUGGGGAUCCCAGGUCAGGCAAGUCCUGAGGAGUCAACAGAAUGGGAAGAACAAGAUCCGGGCUAUCAACACCUACGCCCUGCCCGUGAUCAGGUACCCUGCUGGGAUAAUAAGCUGACCAAAGGAGGAGAUAGAAGCCACUGACAUCAAGACAAGGAACUUCUGACCAUGCAUGGAGGGUUUCACCCCAAGUCCAGCACCCUGAGGCUGUACGCUAAACGGAAGGAAGAAGGCCAACGGACAUCGAUGAAUGCAUCUUCCUGAUGCAUUUGUGGAUGUCCGUUGGCCCCAACCGACCGCGUGCUCAGUGAAUACCUCAGGCAACAGAAACACGAGGAAGAGGAGGAACCAUCAUGGAAGGAUGGUACGGCACGGUAUGUACCACAGGCAGAUAGAGGAGGUGGCUGGCAUCCAGAAAUCCUACCAGUGGCUGGACAAAGCUGGACUGAAAGACGGCACAGAGGCACUAAUCAUGGCAGCACAGGAACAAGCUCUGAGCACAAGAUCCAUAGAGGCUGGGGUCUAUCACACCAGGCAAGACCCCAGGUGCAGGCUGUGCAAAGAUGCCCCUGAGACAAUCCAGCCCAUAACAGCAGGGUGCAAGAUGCUAGCAAGCAGGAAGAAGGAUAAUGAGAAGCUUGAGAAAUACCAAGGGCUCAGAGAAGAUGUGGAGGGUGAAGGUUCCCAUUGGUAAUCGAAACACUAGGUGCAGUGACUCUAAAGCUAGGCGAGUGGCUCCAGCAGAUCCCAGGAACACCAUUGGACAUCUCUGUCCAGAAAAGCGCAGUCCUAGGAACAGCUAAGAUACUGCGCAGGACCCUCAAGCUCCCAGGCCUCUGGUAGAGGACCCGAGGAUAGACCGACCGCAGGGGCGAGUGGGGAAUUCUAACAAAGAUGUCUUGAUUUAAAAAAAAAAUAGAUAACUAACAGACGUUAAAAUAUUUCAAUAUAUUUCAAAUAAAGUCAUAAUUAGAGGGGACGCCCAUGAGAGCACUCAGCCUCACCAAAUUAACAUCUGCCCUGUUGUUGAGAAUAAAACAGACUUUGGGCAGGUAAGCAAACAAAUCUGAACAAAUUUGAACUUUGAUGUUAAACAAGAGCUGAAGUAAAACAGCCUCCACCUACAAACACAUGCAUUAUAAAACAAGUCUAAACGCUCACUGGAGGCUGAUUACAAAAUGAGAGGACUCACACUGCUCUGUUUGGUGGGAUUCAUUCUCACAGCUUUGCUGCAUGAAGGAAGCACAGCACCAGCAAAGAAUAAUGUCCAUAAUGAAGGCAACUCAGAAAAGACCAUAAUCUCAGUGUUGUGCCAUGGGUGCUGGCAUGGCUUUGAAGGUACACGUGAUGCAACCGAAUCAGCUGAGGGAAAUGACACACAGAACAAGACCUUGCAUCUUCAUCCAAAUAAUGCUACUCAUGCUGGAAAUGCCACAGAGGUUCAUCACAACAAUACAGCUGCAGCAACAGUGAAAGAAGACGUGUGAUGCUAAAAAUGUGGAAACAUGAAUCUUCACAGAGACAGACGACCGUGAUUCUGCUGGUGUUACUGUCUACUCUGAAUAAACACUAAAAUGAUGUUUUGAGAAAAAGAUUUUCUUAUUUGUUAACAUGUAUCCUAUAGGAUCAUUUAAAAUGUGUUUUUUAAACACAUUUAAGAGCUUAAACGUUCAUGUCCAAACACACAUAAAACACCUAUUCUGACAAAAUGAGUCGGUGCCACACUGACACUCUGCUGUCUUGCUUCUUCAUGAGUAUCAUCACUGUGGUUGAUCUAAAUUCCCAUCUUUUGUCCUUUUGCUGUUUUAAACACCAAAUCCACAAAAACGGUUUGUGACAAACUAACUCGACAUGACAGCACCUGUGUGUUACAGGGAGCUGCUCCCUGCUUUUACAAAUUUACACCAUUAAUACAAAAUAACCUGACUCGCACUGCUGUAUUCUCACAGCAUCACAGAGACACUCAUAUCACUGAUGGAUGUUCACAGAGUUACUGAACAGAAAAAAUUAAAUGCAUAUAUAUUUAGAUUUUUGUAGUUUUAUAAUUUUUGGACCAGAUGGAAACACAAGCUUGACUUAAAUAUAUUUUUUCACUAAGAAUCGGCUGGAGUGUGGCUCAUGCUGCUGAGCCUCUAAGAUUCGAUGAAUAAUUACUUUGCUGUUUUGUUUGCAAAAAGUGUUUUUUGUAACUUUUAAAACAAGUACUAUUAUGCACGACUAAAGAAGCCAUAAAUAAAAAAGUUAUUUUGUGUACCUUAACUGUUAUGCUUCGUUGUAAAAAUCACCUAUUUACAGCGUCUCAAAUGAUCAAAACAAAAGCAAAUAUAAUGACUUUUUUGGCUGUGUCACUGUGUAAUUUAUGUUUCUGUGUGUGUUAAAAUUAUGUAAAGUCAUUAUUUGACAGAAACGAUUCAGUUUUACGUAGUUAGAGUACAGAUGAUGAAACAGCUGCACACAGAGGUUACUAUUGUUAGUUUUAAACCUUUAUCACAUAAUUUACAUAUUCAGUUUCAGUUCUCAGAAUCCAAAAAGAAGAAGCAAAAUGUUACAAUUUCUUUCUUCUUUGUGUCAACUUCUGCCUGUACUUAUUUUUGUCUCUUUUCACACUUGAAAGGAUAUUUGUAAAAGAGCAAGCUCAAGCUUCUUAUUAGUUUAUUGUAUAUAUUUUCUAUUUUAGACCGCACACUGGCACCCUCUCGAAAAUCCUCUUUCUUUUCCAACUGAACCAACAAGCAACGAGACCUUGCAUCCAAAUAAUUCUACUCAUGCUGGAAAUGCCACAGAGGUUCAUCACAACAAUACAGCUGCAGCAAAACUGAUAGAAGACCCGUGAUGCUAAAAAUGUGGAAACAUGAAUCUUCACAGAGACAGACGACCGUGAUUCUGCUGGUGUUACUGUCUACUCUGAAUAAACACUAAAAUGAUGUUUUGAGAAAAAGAUUUUCUUAUUUGUUAACAUGUAUCCUAUAGGAUCAUUUAAAAUGUGUUUUUUAAACACAUUUAAGAGCUUAAACGUUCAUGUCCAAACACACAUAAAACACCUAUUCUGACAAAAUGAGUCGGUGCCACACUGACACUCUGCUGUCUUGCUUCUUCAUGAGUAUCAUCACUGUGGUUGAUCUAAAUUCCCAUCUUUUGUCCUUUUGCUGUUUUAAACACCAAAUCCACAAAAACGGUUUGUGACAAACUAACUCGACAUGACAGCACCUGUGUGUUACAGGAGCUGCUCCUGCUUUACAAAUUUACACCAUUAAUACAAAAUAACCUGACUCGCACUGCUGUAUUCUCACAGCAUCACAGAGACACUCAUAUCACUGAUGGAUGUUCACAGAGUUACUGAACAGAAAAAAUUAAAUGCAUAUAUAUUUAGAUUUUUGUAGUUUUAUAAUUUUUGGACCAGAUGGAAACACAAGCUUGACUUAAAUAUAUUUUUUCACCAAGAAUCGGCUGGAGUGUGUCUCAUGCUGCUGAGCCUCUAAGAUUCGAUGAAUAAUUACUUUGCUGUUUUGUUUGCAAAAAGUGUUUUUUGUAACUUUUAAAACAAGUACUAUUAUGCACGACUAAAGAAGCCAUAAAUAAAAAAGUUAUUUUGUGUACCUUAACUGUUAUGCUUCGUUGUAAAAAUCACCUAUUUACAGCGUCUCAAAUGAUCAAAACAAAAGCAAAUAUAAUGACUUUUUUGGCUGUGUCACUGUGUAAUUUAUGUUUCUGUGUGUUAAAAUUAUGUAAAGUCAUUAUUUGACAGAAACGAUUCAGUUUUACGUAGUUAGAGUACAGAUGAUGAAACAGCUGCACACAGAGGUUACUAUUGUUAGUUUUAAACCUUUAUCACAUAAUUUACAUAUUCAGUUUCAGUUCUCAGAAUCC
Molecule: long non-coding RNA, 4346 nt
Organism: Oreochromis aureus
Lineage: Eukaryota; Metazoa; Chordata; Actinopteri; Cichliformes; Cichlidae
Source: Ensembl